This 1431-nucleotide ribosomal RNA is filed under the name Triticum aestivum (bread wheat). RNAcentral's name for it is "partial small subunit ribosomal RNA". Lineage: Eukaryota; Viridiplantae; Streptophyta; Magnoliopsida; Poales; Poaceae. The record is from RNAcentral.
AUGCAUACAGUCGCUCACACAUACAUUACCUUCACCCCCUCAACAAAAAAAAAGACAUUACCAUCACUUCACACAAAAACAUAUAGGGUACGUUCACUGUAUAAACUUGGCUCUACCAGAUUCUUUUAUGACGAUCCUCAUCCUGGUGCCGCUGCUUGUGACUCAUGGCCUUGGGAUUUAGAAGAUUUUCUAGGGGUCGAAUUUGGUAGAUGGACGGCUAGAUCAGGCUCUGAUGCAGACUGGCCUGUCGAAGACCCAGCUGAACCUUGCGAACUCGGCCUCUUUUGCGGCUUUGAUCGCACGGUCGUGGGCCAGCUCCUCCACCCGCCGGAUCUUGCGCGGCAGCCCGCACACGUACUCCUGCGCGCGCCGCCCCUCGCUGGACAACUGCCCCCCGCCGAGGUCCGCCACCUUCCACCUCCGCACGAAGUGCUCCACCAUGUCGCCGUAGUCCCUUGCUGUGUACACCCCGGUGCGCUGCGCCACCGCCGAGAAGUGCUCGAACAGGUCGGCGUCGCGGCCGUCGGUCAUGAGCUGGCCGGGCAUGGUGAUCUUGUCCCGCAGCACGGCGGCCAGCGCCCGCACCAUUCCGUCCGGGUCGAGCUCGAAGAUCUUGGCGGCCACCUUGGUGUAGGCCGUCUCGUGGCGCUUCUCGUCGGCGGCGACGACGCCGCAGAUCUUAGCGAGGCAGCGGUCGCCGUGGCGCGCAGCUUGCUUGGCGGUGUGGGCGUGGGAGAUGAAGGUUGCGCGCUCCUGGAAGGAACCAUAGACGGCAUUGUGGUAGGGGCUGGACGGCCUGAGCAUCUGCAUGCCAUUGCGGAGGAGGUGGUGGACGGUCCGCUCGAUCUGGCGCAUGUCGACGCGGCCGGAGAGGUAGAGGUAGCCGUUGAGGAGGUCGCCGUGGCGGUUCUCCUCGGCCGUCCAUCCGCGGAUCCAGCGCGCCCAGGGGAGGUCGCUGCAGCCUGUGUCGUCGCGGUAGCCCGGCACCCGGUUGCCCAUGCACAUGUACGUCGGCAGCGCCUCCUCCGUUACCAUGUUGCCCACCAGGCAGACCAGCACGUCAUCCGGAACGCCGGAGGCUUGGGCCUGCAGCUCCUCCGUCGUCAUCAUCAUCGACGGCUGCUGCUCGUCGGAGAGGCCAGCUGCAGAGAGGGAAAAGCAGGGGAGCAGGUCGCUGGGCUGCCACGCGUCGUCCACCGGGGUGAGCAGCGGCAGCAGCUGUUCCUCCACCCAGCCGCUCAGGCUCAGACCCCGCACCACCUCCGCCUCCGCCUGCUCUUGCGACGCCAUCCCCAUCACCGUGCCCUCGAAAUUAGCUGUCGCGGUGACCUUGCAGGCCCACCUCCCAGCUCUCGCCGCAGCCCGGCUCCUACACCUGCAUGCACAAACGAUUCCACUUCACCCGCUUGCCGAAUCAAAUCGCACACCUAG